GAACGGAAAGGCCCUGCUUGCAGGGUACUCGAGUGGCGAACGGGUGAGUAACACGUGGGUGAUCUGCCCUGCACUUCGGGAUAAGCUUGGGAAACUGGGUCUAAUACCGGAUAGGAACCAUCUUUAGUGUGGUGGUUGGAAAGUUUUUUCGGUGUAGGAUGAGCUCGCGGCCUAUCAGCUUGUUGGUGGGGUAAUGGCCUACCAAGGCGGCGACGGGUAGCCGGCCUGAGAGGGUGUACGGCCACAUUGGGACUGAGAUACGGCCCAGACUCCUACGGGAGGCAGCAGUGGGGAAUAUUGCACAAUGGGCGCAAGCCUGAUGCAGCGACGCCGCGUGGGGGAUGAAGGCCUUCGGGUUGUAAACUCCUUUCGCUAGGGACGAAGCUUUUUUGUGACGGUACCUAGAUAAGAAGCACCGGCUAACUACGUGCCAGCAGCCGCGGUAAUACGUAGGGUGCGAGCGUUGUCCGGAAUUACUGGGCGUAAAGGGCUCGUAGGUGGUUUGUCGCGUCGUCUGUGAAAUUCUGGGGCUUAACUCCGGGCGUGCAGGCGAUACGGGCGUAACUUGAGUGCUGUAGGGGUAACUGGAAUUCCUGGUGUAGCGGUGAAAUGCGCAGAUAUCAGGAGGAACACCGAUGGCGAAGGCAGGUUACUGGGCAGUUACUGACGCUGAGGAGCGAAAGCAUGGGUAGCGAACAGGAUUAGAUACCUGGUAGUCCAUGCCGUAAACGGUGGGCGCUAGGUGUGAGGGUCUUUCUACGACUUUCGUGCCGUAGCUAACGCAUUAAGCGCCCCGCCUGGGGAGUACGCCGCAAGGCUA
This 820-nucleotide ribosomal RNA is filed under the name uncultured Actinomycetes bacterium. Its description in RNAcentral is "bacterial SSU rRNA". It matches the Rfam family "Bacterial small subunit ribosomal RNA", at positions 64 to 896 of the family's 1533-position model. The record is from RNAcentral. Lineage: Bacteria; Bacillati; Actinomycetota; Actinomycetes.